CUCGGGGAUAGCCUUUCGAAAGAAAGAUUAAUACCCGAUGGCAUAGUUCUUCCGCAUGGUGGAACUAUUAAAGAAUUUCGGUCAUCGAUGGGGAUGCGUUCCAUUAGGUUGUUGGCGGGGUAACGGCCCACCAAGCCUUCGAUGGAUAGGGGUUCUGAGAGGAAGGUCCCCCACAUUGGAACUGAGACACGGUCCAAACUCCUACGGGAGGCAGCAGUGAGGAAUAUUGGUCAAUGGACGAGAGUCUGAACCAGCCAAGUAGCGUGAAGGAUGACUGCCCUAUGGGUUGUAAACUUCUUUUAUACGGGAAUAAAGUGAGGCACGUGUGCCUUUUUGUAUGUACCGUAUGAAUAAGGAUCGGCUAACUCCGUGCCAGCAGCCGCGGUAAUACGGAGGAUCCGAGCGUUAUCCGGAUUUAUUGGGUUUAAAGGGAGCGUAGGCGGACGCUUAAGUCAGUUGUGAAAGUUUGCGGCUCAACCGUAAAAUUGCAGUUGAUACUGGGUGUCUUGAGUACAGUAGAGGCAGGCGGAAUUCGUGGUGUAGCGGUGAAAUGCUUAGAUAUCACGAAGAACUCCGAUUGCGAAGGCAGCUUGCUGGACUGUAACUGACGCUGAUGCUCGAAAGUGUGGGUCUCAAACAGGAUUAGAUACCCUGGUAGUCCACACAGAAAACGAUGAAUACUCGCUGUUUGCGAUAUACAGUAAGCGGCCAAGCGAAAGCGUUAAGUAUUCCACCUGGGGAGUACGCCGGCAACGGUGAAACUCAAAGGAAUUGACGGGGGCCCGCACAAGCGGAGGAACAUGUGGUUUAAUUCGAUGAUACGCGAGGAACCUUACCCGGGCUUGAAUUGCAACUGAAUGAUGUGGAGACAUGUCAGCCGCAAGGCAGUUGUGAAGGUGCUGCAUGGUUGUCGUCAGCUCGUGCCGUGAGGUGUCGGCUUAAGUGCCAUAACGAGCGCAACCCUUAUCGAUAGUUACCAUCAGGUUAUGCUGGGGACUCUGUCGAGACUGCCGUCGUAAGAUGUGAGGAAGGUGGGGAUGACGUCAAAUCAGCACGGCCCUUACGUCCGGGGCUACACACGUGUUACAAUGGGGGGUACAGAAGGCAGCUACACGGCGACGUGAUGCUAAUCCCUAAAGCCUCUCUCAGUUCGGAUUGGAGUCUGCAACCCGACUCCAUGAAGCUGGGUU
This 1190-nucleotide ribosomal RNA is filed under the name uncultured bacterium. RNAcentral's name for it is "bacterial SSU rRNA". It matches the Rfam family "Bacterial small subunit ribosomal RNA", at positions 136 to 1332 of the family's 1533-position model. The record is from RNAcentral.